AAGUCGUAACAAGGUUUCCGUAGGUGAACCUGCGGAAGGAUCAUUAUCGAGUUUUUGUCAAGUUGUAGCUGACCUCUUACCGGAGGUAUGUGCACGCUUGACUUAUCCAACUCUUCAACCCUUUGUGCACUUUUUGUAAGGAGUGGCGAACGUCGGCUUCUUCAGUCGACUGCAGUCUCCUUCUUACGUCUUUUCAUCACAAACGUCUCAGUCACAGAAUGUCAUUACUUUGCGGAUAACGCGAUGUUAAAUACAACUUUCAGCAACGGAUCUCUUGGCUCUC
Molecule: unclassified non-coding RNA, 283 nt
Filed under: Ceriporia bubalinomarginata
Lineage: Eukaryota; Fungi; Basidiomycota; Agaricomycetes; Polyporales; Irpicaceae
Description: partial internal transcribed spacer region
Rfam family: Eukaryotic small subunit ribosomal RNA (bases 1-46)
Source: RNAcentral